This 505-nucleotide ribosomal RNA is filed under the name uncultured Yoonia sp. Its description in RNAcentral is "bacterial SSU rRNA". It matches the Rfam family "Bacterial small subunit ribosomal RNA", at positions 320 to 843 of the family's 1533-position model. The record is from RNAcentral. Lineage: Bacteria; Pseudomonadati; Pseudomonadota; Alphaproteobacteria; Rhodobacterales; Paracoccaceae.
UGAGACACGGCCCAGACUCCUACGGGAGGCAGCAGUGGGGAAUCUUAGACAAUGGGCGCAAGCCUGAUCUAGCCAUGCCGCGUGAGUGACGAAGGCCUUAGGGUCGUAAAGCUCUUUCGCCAGAGAUGAUAAUGACAGUAUCUGGUAAAGAAACCCCGGCUAACUCCGUGCCAGCAGCCGCGGUAAUACGGAGGGGGUUAGCGUUGUUCGGAAUUACUGGGCGUAAAGCGCACGUAGGCGGAUUGGAAAGUAUGGGGUGAAAUCCCAGGGCUCAACCCUGGAACGGCCUUGUAAACUCCCAGUCUAGAGUUCGAGAGAGGUGAGUGGAAUUCCAAGUGUAGAGGUGAAAUUCGUAGAUAUUUGGAGGAACACCAGUGGCGAAGGCGGCUCACUGGCUCGAUACUGACGCUGAGGUGCGAAAGUGUGGGGAGCAAACAGGAUUAGAUACCCUGGUAGUCCACACCGUAAACGAUGAAUGCCAGACGUCGGGGGGCUUGCCCUUCGG